Molecule: ribosomal RNA, 497 nt
Filed under: uncultured bacterium
Lineage: Bacteria
Description: partial 16S ribosomal RNA
Rfam family: Bacterial small subunit ribosomal RNA
Source: RNAcentral
GAUGAACGCUGGCGGCGUGCCUAAUACAUGCCAGUCGAGCGAACAGACGAGGAGCUUGCUCCUCUGACGUUAGCGGCGGACGGGUGAGUAACACGUGGAUAACCUACCUAUAAGACUGGGAUAACUUCGGGAAACCGGAGCUAAUACCGGAUAAUAUAUUGAACCGCAUGGUUCAAUAGUGAAAGACGGUUUUGCUGUCACUUAUAGAUGGAUCCGCGCCGCAUUAGCUAGUUGGUAAGGUAACGGCUUACCAAGGCAACGAUGCGUAGCCGACCUGAGAGGGUGAUCGGCCACACUGGAACUGAGACACGGUCCAGACUCCUACGGGAGGCAGCAGUAGGGAAUCUUCCGCAAUGGGCGAAAGCUUGACGGAGCAACGCCGCGUGAGUGAUGAAGGUCUUCGCAUCGUAAAACUCUGUUAUUAGGGAAGAACAAAUGUGUAAGUAACUAUGCACGUCUUGACGGUACCUAAUCAGAAAGCCACGGCUAACUACGUG